CUGCAUCGGCUGGCCGGGCUCCAUGUCCGACGCCGACGUGCUCGACCGCUCCGCGCUCUACGCGCAGCGCGGCGCCGCGGGGAGGCUGCAGGGGCAGUGGGUCGUCGGCGGCGCCGGCUACCCGCUCAUGGACUGGGUGCUGGUCCCCUACACGCACCAGAACAUGACGUGGGCGCAACACGUGUUCAACGAGCGGGUGGACGGCGUGCGCGCCGUGGCGCGGGACGCGUUCCGCCGCCUCAAGGCACGCUGGGGCUGCCUCCAGAAGCGCACCGAGGUGAAGCUGCAGGACCUCCCCGUGGUGCUCGGCGCCUGCUGCGUGCUUCACAACAUCUGCGAGCGCGCCGGCGACGCCGUCGACCCCGAAAACGCCUUCCAGAUCUUCGACGACGACAUGGUCGCCGACAACCCCGUGCGCUCGCAGCCCGCCGUCACCGCGCGCGACCAAAUCGCCCACAAC
Molecule: long non-coding RNA, 460 nt
Filed under: Setaria italica (foxtail millet)
Lineage: Eukaryota; Viridiplantae; Streptophyta; Magnoliopsida; Poales; Poaceae
Description: long non-coding RNA (SITA_LNC003580)
Source: RNAcentral